RNAcentral lists this transfer RNA (71 nucleotides) under bacterium. RNAcentral's name for it is "tRNA-Trp". It matches the Rfam family "tRNA". Rfam says of the family: Transfer RNA (tRNA) molecules are approximately 80 nucleotides in length. Their secondary structure includes four short double-helical elements and three loops (D, anti-codon, and T loops). Further hydrogen bonds mediate the characteristic L-shaped molecular structure. tRNAs have two regions of fundamental functional importance: the anti-codon, which is responsible for specific mRNA codon recognition, and the 3' end, to which the tRNAs corresponding amino acid is attached (by aminoacyl-tRNA synthetases). tRNAs cope with the degeneracy of the genetic code in two manners: having more than one tRNA (with a specific anti-codon) for a particular amino acid; and 'wobble' base-pairing, i.e. permitting non-standard base-pairing at the 3rd anti-codon position. The record is from RNAcentral.
GGGGUUAUCGUCCAACGGCAGGACAUCGGUCUCCAAAACCGAGAAUUAAGGUUCGAGUCCUUAUAACCCCG